Molecule: ribosomal RNA, 253 nt
Filed under: uncultured bacterium
Lineage: Bacteria
Description: partial 16S ribosomal RNA
Rfam family: Bacterial small subunit ribosomal RNA
Source: RNAcentral
GACGGAGGGUGCUAGCGUUGUUCGGAAUGACUGGGCGUAAAGGGCGCGUAGGCGGCCGGUUGCGUCGGAUGUGAAAGCCCGGGGCUCAACCCCGGAACGGCAUCCGAUACGGGCUGGCUCGAGACCGAGAGAGGUGAGUGGAAUACCCAGUGUAGAGGUGAAAUUCGUAGAUAUUGGGUGGAACACCGGUGGCGAAAGCGGCUCACUGGCUCGGUUCUGACGCUGAGGCGCGAAAGCGUGGGGAGCGAACAGG